GUGGCAGCCGCCGCGGUAAUACGGAGGGUGCGAGCGUUAAUCGGAAUUACUGGGCGUAAAGGGCGCGUAGGCGGUCGCGCAAGUCGGGUGUGAAAGCCCCGGGCUCAACCUGGGAAUUGCAUUCGAUACUGCGUAACUAGAGUCUGGUAGAGGGAAGCGGAAUUCCGCAUGUAGCGGUGAAAUGCGUAGGUAUGCGGAGGAACACCAGUGGCGAAGGCAGCUUCCUGGACCAAGACUGACGCUGAGGCGCGAAAGCGUGGGGAGCAAACAGGAUUAGAUACCCUGGUAGUCCACGCCCUAAACGAUGAGGACUAGACGUUGGGGGGAUAAAACCCUUUAGUGUCGCAGCUAACGCGUGAAGUCCUCCGCCUGGGGAGUACGGCCGCAAGGUUGAAACUCAAAUGAAUUGAAGG
RNAcentral lists this ribosomal RNA (413 nucleotides) under uncultured bacterium. RNAcentral describes it as "bacterial SSU rRNA". It matches the Rfam family "Bacterial small subunit ribosomal RNA", at positions 505 to 916 of the family's 1533-position model. The record is from RNAcentral.